Molecule: ribosomal RNA, 422 nt
Filed under: uncultured Aneurinibacillus sp.
Lineage: Bacteria; Bacillati; Bacillota; Bacilli; Caryophanales; Paenibacillaceae
Description: partial 16S ribosomal RNA
Rfam family: Bacterial small subunit ribosomal RNA
Source: RNAcentral
UAGGGAAUCUUCCGCAAUGGACGAAAGUCUGACGGAGCAACGCCGCGUGAGUGAUGAAGGCUUUCGGGUCGUAAAACUCUGUUGUUAGGGAAGAACAUCCGGGAUAACCUCCCGGUCUGACGGUACCUAACGAGGAAGCCCCGGCUAACUACGUGCCAGCAGCCGCGGUAAUACGUAGGGGGCAAGCGUUGUCCGGAAUUAUUGGGCGUAAAGCGCGCGCAGGCGGCUUCUUAAGUCUGGUGUGAAAGCCCGCAGCUCAACUGCGGAGGGCCACUGGAAACUGGGAAGCUUGAGUGUAGGAGAGGAGAGCGGAAUUCCACGUGUAGCGGUGAAAUGCGUAGAUAUGUGGAGGAACACCCGUGGCGAAAGCGGCUCUCUGGCCUAUAACUGACGCUGAGGCGCGAAAGCGUGGGGAGCAAACA